This 527-nucleotide long non-coding RNA is filed under the name Vombatus ursinus (common wombat). Its description in RNAcentral is "lncRNA (ENSVURG00010024243.1)". The record is from RNAcentral. Lineage: Eukaryota; Metazoa; Chordata; Mammalia; Diprotodontia; Vombatidae.
GCGGGGCGCCGGGGGCGUACGGGCGGCUGUGCGGGGAGCGGGCCUCUCUAGCUCGCCCUCUCGUUCUCUCUUUAGCAACAUGGCGGGCGUGGAGGCGGCCCAGGCGUCGGCCUCUGAGAGGCACCUGAACGGUGAGCUGGAGCCGGACGACAAGGACGACGGCGCGGCCGCCACGGCCGAGGAGACGGCCAAGAAGAAGCGCCGCAAGAAGAAGAAGGGCAAGGCCGGGGCCGCAGGACAACAGGAAACAGAGGGAGAAUCGGGGACUUCAGUGGAUGAGGUAGCCAGACAGCUGGAAAAACAGGCCCUGGAGGACAAAGAAAAAGAGGAUGACGAUGAAGUGCUGAUUUUGAAAAUUGUUACAUUUGAGUCCUAGUAACAUCAGCUGUGUGACUCUGGACAAGUUACUUAACCUUUAUGAUCAAUCUGUCUAACCAAUGGGGACAAUAAUACUUGGAUUGCCUACUUUCUGUUUUGAUGAAAAUGCUGUAUAAACUUUAAAAUUCUGUAUCAGUGUGAGCUCUUAC